GGUAUUUUGUUAUGGUUUUUAAGCUUGAAAAAGGUGUUGUUGAUUGUUGGAGGUUCAACGUGAGGCUAGGUUUUCAAAAAAGGUUUCAAGAACUUGAACAUUGUUGGUUUUGUUGUGUGGACCAAAACUUGAAGGUGGUUUGAGCUCGUGUUGUUGGUAUUUUGUUAUGGUUUUUAAGCUUGAAAAAGGUGUUGUUGAUUGUUGGAGGUUCAACGUGAGGCUAGGUUUUCGAACUUCUAUUGAAAGUUCUUGUUGUUCUAGACUCUCUUCAUGUCUAGUUGCAAAAAAGCUCUUCAAUAGUGUUGUUUGAUCCAAAAGCCAAGUGGAAAGAAGUGAGGCCUUUGUUAGUCUUUAAAACAAAUCCCAAAUACCUACCAAAAGCGAAGGAGGACAAAAAGAUCUACAAAAACUUUAUACUAAACGAGGGAAAAAAAUACCCUUUUAGGUGUCCAACAGAGGAAAGGGUCACCAACCCUUCAAAAAGGUGUCUUGCCCAAAAGGUGUAAGACAAGUCAAACCUUUUUGAAUGAGAAAAAGGGCUCCAAUCUUGAUAUUUUUCUUCCCCAAGGACGAAAUACACUUCUUCAAGAAUUGAAAAUUGAACCAAAAUUUCAAAGUUGAAAAAAUAAGAACCUUUAAAAAAUCGCACCAAUCCUAGACCGCCACAUCACUAAUUUUUGUACAAUACCGAAACUUAGGG
This 700-nucleotide long non-coding RNA is filed under the name Capsicum annuum. Its description in RNAcentral is "long non-coding RNA (CANN_LNC001162)". The record is from RNAcentral. Lineage: Eukaryota; Viridiplantae; Streptophyta; Magnoliopsida; Solanales; Solanaceae.